RNAcentral lists this ribosomal RNA (264 nucleotides) under uncultured bacterium. RNAcentral's name for it is "partial 16S ribosomal RNA". It matches the Rfam family "Bacterial small subunit ribosomal RNA", at positions 793 to 1055 of the family's 1533-position model. The record is from RNAcentral.
GUCCACGCCCUAAACGAUGUCAACUGGGUGUUGGGGAAGUGAUUCCUUGGUACCGUAGCUAACGCGUGAAGUUGACCGCCUGGGGAGUACGGCCGCAAGGUUAAAACUCAAAGGAAUUGACGGGGACCCGCACAAGCGGUGGAUGAUGUGGAUUAAUUCGAUGCAACGCGAACAACCUUACCUACCCUUGACAUGUCCGGAAGCCUGGUGAGAGCUGGGUGUGCCCGAAAGGGAAUCGGAACACAGGUGCUGCAUGGCUGUCGU